AGGGAAUCUUCGGCAAUGGACGGAAGUCUGACCGAGCAACGCCGCGUGAGUGAAGAAGGUUUUCGGAUCGUAAAGCUCUGCUGUAAGAGAAGAACGAGUGUGAGAGUGGAAAGUUCACACUGUGACGGUAUCUUACCAGAAAGGGACGGCUAACUACGUGCCAGCAGCCGCGGUAAUACGUAGGUCCCGAGCGUUGUCCGGAUUUAUUGGGCGUAAAGCGAGCGCAGGCGGUUAGAUAAGUCUGAAGUUAAAGGCUGUGGCUUAACCAUAGUACGCUUUGGAAACUGUUUAACUUGAGUGCAAGAGGGGAGAGUGGAAUUCCAUGUGUAGCGGUGAAAUGCGUAGAUAUAUGGAGGAACACCGGUGGCGAAAGCGGCUCUCUGGCUUGUAACUGACGCUGAGGCUCGAAAGCGUGGGGAGCAAACAGGAUUAGAUACCCUGGUAGUCCACGCCGUAAACGAUGAGUGCUAGGUGUUAGACCCUUUCCGGGGUUUAGUGCCGCAGCUAACGCAUUAAGCACUCCGCCUGGGGAGUACGACCGCAAGGUUG
This 549-nucleotide ribosomal RNA is filed under the name uncultured bacterium. Its description in RNAcentral is "bacterial SSU rRNA". It matches the Rfam family "Bacterial small subunit ribosomal RNA", at positions 356 to 896 of the family's 1533-position model. The record is from RNAcentral.